This 24-nucleotide non-coding RNA is filed under the name Cricetulus griseus (Chinese hamster). Lineage: Eukaryota; Metazoa; Chordata; Mammalia; Rodentia; Cricetidae. The record is from RNAcentral.
AAUGUAGAUAUGGUCAUUUAAGGU